Molecule: signal recognition particle RNA, 148 nt
Filed under: Homo sapiens (human)
Lineage: Eukaryota; Metazoa; Chordata; Mammalia; Primates; Hominidae
Description: Metazoan signal recognition particle RNA
Rfam family: Metazoan signal recognition particle RNA
About the family: The signal recognition particle (SRP) is a universally conserved ribonucleoprotein. It is involved in the co-translational targeting of proteins to membranes.
Source: Rfam by way of RNAcentral
GCCGGGUGUGGUGGUGCGCGCCUGUAAUCCUAGCUACUGAAGAGGCUGAGGCAGGAGAAUCGCUUGAACCCGGGAGGCGGAGGUUGCAGUGAGCCAAGAUGGCACCACUGGACUCCAGCCUGGGUGACAGAGUGAGACUCUGUCUCAA